GCUUACAGCCUCGUCUGAUCUCGGAAGCUAAGCAGGGUCGGGCCUGGUUAGUACUUGGAAGGGAGACUGCCUGGCAAUACCAGGUGCUGUAAGCU
This is a ribosomal RNA of Sinocyclocheilus anshuiensis, 95 nucleotides long. NCBI's taxonomy places the organism in Eukaryota, Metazoa, Chordata, Actinopteri, Cypriniformes, Cyprinidae. The record is from Ensembl.